This is a small nuclear RNA of Dipodomys ordii (Ord's kangaroo rat), 151 nucleotides long. Its record names the gene U1. It matches the Rfam family "U1 spliceosomal RNA". Rfam says of the family: U1 is a small nuclear RNA (snRNA) component of the spliceosome (involved in pre-mRNA splicing). Its 5' end forms complementary base pairs with the 5' splice junction, thus defining the 5' donor site of an intron. Lineage: Eukaryota; Metazoa; Chordata; Mammalia; Rodentia; Heteromyidae. The record is from Ensembl.
GGCAGGGGAGAUACUAUGAUUAUGAAGGUGGUUUUCCCAGGGCCAUGUGCUGACCCCUGAAAUUUCCAGAUGUGCUGACCCCUGAAAUUUCCCCAAAUGUGGGAAAUUUGACUGCAUAAUUUGUGGUAGUGGGGGAAUGUGUUCUCUCCAC